This 253-nucleotide ribosomal RNA is filed under the name uncultured bacterium. Its description in RNAcentral is "partial 16S ribosomal RNA". It matches the Rfam family "Bacterial small subunit ribosomal RNA", at positions 524 to 776 of the family's 1533-position model. The record is from RNAcentral.
GACAGAGGUGCCAAGCGUUAGGCGGAAUCACUGGGCUUAAAGCGUGUGUAGGCGGGCGGGCAAGUACCUUGUGAAAUCCCACGGCUCAACCGUGGAACGGCUGGGUAUACUGCCUGUCUUGAGCCAGCUAGGGGCGACCGGAACAGACGGUGGAGCGGUGAAAUGCGUAGAUAUCGUCUGGAACGCCAAAGGUGAAAACAGGUCGCUGGGGCUGAGCUGACGCUGAGACACGAAAGCCAGGGGAGCAAACGGG